UGGGGAAUCUUGCGCAAUGGGCGAAAGCCUGACGCAGCCACGCCGCGUGGGGGACGAAGGCCCUCGGGUUGUAAACCCCUUUCAGCAGGGACGAAACUGACGGUACCUGCAGAAGAAGCUCCGGCCAACUACGUGCCAGCAGCCGCGGUAACACGUAGGGAGCGAGCGUUGUCCGGAUUCAUUGGGCGUAAAGGGCUCGUAGGCGGUUUGGUAAGUCAGGUGUGAAAGCUCAGGGCUCAACUCUGAGAAGCCAUCUGAUACUGCCAUGACUAGAGUUCGGUAGAGGAGCGUGGAAUUUCCGGUGUAGCGGUGAAAUGCUCAGAUAUCGGGAGGAACACCAGCAGCGAAGGCGGCGCUCUGGGCCGACACUGACGCUGAGGAGCGAAAGCGUGGGUAGCAAACAGGAUUAGAUACCCCCGUAGUCC
This 425-nucleotide ribosomal RNA is filed under the name uncultured prokaryote. Its description in RNAcentral is "bacterial SSU rRNA". It matches the Rfam family "Bacterial small subunit ribosomal RNA", at positions 355 to 796 of the family's 1533-position model. The record is from RNAcentral.